GGAGGAAUAGCUCAGUGGGUAGAGUGCUUGCCUUGCAUGCAUGAGGCCCUGGGUUCAAACCCCAACCCCAUCU
RNAcentral lists this transfer RNA (73 nucleotides) under Ictidomys tridecemlineatus (thirteen-lined ground squirrel). RNAcentral describes it as "Spermophilus tridecemlineatus (thirteen-lined ground squirrel) tRNA". It matches the Rfam family "tRNA". From Rfam's summary of the family: Transfer RNA (tRNA) molecules are approximately 80 nucleotides in length. Their secondary structure includes four short double-helical elements and three loops (D, anti-codon, and T loops). The record is from Rfam by way of RNAcentral. Lineage: Eukaryota; Metazoa; Chordata; Mammalia; Rodentia; Sciuridae.